CUGCCUAUGCUCUCCCAGCACAGUAUACCAAAACUGUCAAUAUCACCUUCCUGUGAAGAAGGACUCCCUUCAAGUAUUUCAGGAGCGAUGUACACUAGAUCCUGGCAUUUUCUCUGACAGUUCUGCAGGUCUGACCUCUGUUUCUGAUGCCUCCAGUUGGUCAGACCAUAAUCUGUUAUCUUGUGGAUGAGUGAAUGGAGGGAUCCAUUGAUCAUCCACUCAGUCACUAUCCCCACAAGUCUCUGGUAGCGGUAAAUCCCAAGAGAAGGCAGGAGACAUUCAGAUUUACAGCAUCUGAUAAUUGCUAUAUCCUGAAGCAGCAACUUCCA
RNAcentral lists this long non-coding RNA (329 nucleotides) under Gallus gallus (chicken). Lineage: Eukaryota; Metazoa; Chordata; Aves; Galliformes; Phasianidae. The record is from RNAcentral.